UAAGGGCGCACGGUGGAUGCCUUGGCACUAGAAGCCGAUGAAGGACGUUACUAACGACGAUAUGCUUUGGGGAGCUGUAAGUAAGCUUUGAUCCAGAGAUUUCCGAAUGGGGAAACCCAGCAUGAGUUAUGUCAUGUUAUCGAUAUGUGAAUACAUAGCAUAUCAGAAGGCACACCCGGAGAACUGAAACAUCUUAGUACCCGGAGGAAGAGAAAGAAAAUUCGAUUCCCUUAGUAGCGGCGAGCGAAACGGGAAGAGCCCAAACCAACAAGCUUGCUUGUUGGGGUUGUAGGACACUCUAUACGGAGUUACAAAGGACGACAUUAGACGAAUCAUCUGGAAAGAUGAAUCAAAGAAGGUAAUAAUCCUGUAGUCGAAAAUGUUGUCUCUCUUGAGUGGAUCCUGAGUACGACGGAGCACGUGAAAUUCCGUCGGAAUCUGGGAGGACCAUCUCCUAAGGCUAAAUACUCUCUAGUGACCGAUAGUGAACCAGUACCGUGAGGGAAAGGUGAAAAGCACCCCGGAAGGGGAGUGAAAUAGAACCUGAAACC
Molecule: ribosomal RNA, 551 nt
Filed under: Staphylococcus aureus
Lineage: Bacteria; Bacillati; Bacillota; Bacilli; Caryophanales; Staphylococcaceae
Description: partial 23S ribosomal RNA
Rfam family: Bacterial large subunit ribosomal RNA
Source: RNAcentral